RNAcentral lists this ribosomal RNA (440 nucleotides) under uncultured bacterium. RNAcentral's name for it is "partial 16S ribosomal RNA". It matches the Rfam family "Bacterial small subunit ribosomal RNA", at positions 338 to 795 of the family's 1533-position model. The record is from RNAcentral.
CCUACGGGUGGCUGCAGUGGGGAAUAUUGCACAAUGGGCGAAACCCUGAUGCAGCGACGUCGCGUGAGUGAUGAAGUAUUUCGGUAUGUUAAGCUCUAUUUGUAGGGGAGAAAAUGACGGUACCUGAUUAAGAAGCCCCGGCUAACUACGUGCCAGCAGCCGCGGUAACACGUAGGGGGCAAGCGUUAUCCGGAUUUACUGGGUGUAAAGGGAGCGUAGACGGGAGCACAAGUCUGGAGUGAAAGGCCCGGGUUUAACCCCGGAACUGCUGUGGAAACUGUGCAGCUAGAGUGCAGGAGAGGUAAGCGGAAUGCCUGGUGUAGCGGUGAAAUGCGUAGAUAUUAGGAAGAACUCCAAUGGCGAAGGCGGCUUACUGGACUGUAACUGACGUUGAGGCUCGAAAGCGCGGGUAUCAAACAUGAUUAGAUACCCUUGUAGUC